Long non-coding RNA from Nothoprocta perdicaria, 323 nucleotides. RefSeq lists it as uncharacterized. NCBI's taxonomy places the organism in Eukaryota, Metazoa, Chordata, Aves, Tinamiformes, Tinamidae. The transcript is spliced from 3 exons. The record is from RefSeq and is a predicted model, not a curated record.
GCUUGUUUGGAGGGAGCCUCUCUGCAGAAUUUUGCCCCGUCCUUCACUUAUCCACCCAUUCCUGCAGGGCUGCCUAGCCUGAGCCCAAGACGGAAGAUGACUUUAUUCCAUGGACUGAUGCACUCCAGCUGCCAGAUCCAGGGGAUUUUACCCUUAUUGCAAGAGUGAGAGGGGCAGGGAUGGGAUAUUGCCUUCCAUUGAUACAAAGCAGCAGCCUCUGUCCCUGGGGAGCUGGCGGCCGAUGGGGCUCCUGCCACCGCAGGGAUGUGGAAUUUGCGCUGGUCAGACGCGUGCGCGGAGGAAGGAAGAGCGGAGAGGUGCCC